RNAcentral lists this ribosomal RNA (537 nucleotides) under uncultured Halomonas sp. Its description in RNAcentral is "bacterial SSU rRNA". It matches the Rfam family "Bacterial small subunit ribosomal RNA", at positions 341 to 871 of the family's 1533-position model. Lineage: Bacteria; Pseudomonadati; Pseudomonadota; Gammaproteobacteria; Oceanospirillales; Halomonadaceae. The record is from RNAcentral.
ACGGGGGGCAGCAGUGGGGAAUAUUGGACAAUGGGCGAAAGCCUGAUCCAGCCAUGCCGCGUGUGUGAAGAAGGCCUUCGGGUUGUAAAGCACUUUCAGCGAGGAAGAACGCCUUGGGACUAAUACUCUCGAGGAAAGACAUCACUCGCAGAAGAAGCACCGGCUAACUCCGUGCCAGCAGCCGCGGUAAUACGGAGGGUGCAAGCGUUAAUCGGAAUUACUGGGCGUAAAGCGCGCGUAGGUGGCUAAGUCAGCCAGGUGUGAAAGCCCCGGGCUCAACCUGGGAACGGCAUCUGGAACUGCUUGGCUAGAGUGCAGGAGAGGAAGGUAGAAUUCCCGGUGUAGCGGUGAAAUGCGUAGAGAUCGGGAGGAAUACCAGUGGCGAAGGCGGCCUUCUGGACUGACACUGACACUGAGGUGCGAAAGCGUGGGUAGCAAACAGGAUUAGAUACCCUGGUAGUCCACGCCGUAAACGAUGUCAACUAGCCGUUGGGUCCCUUGAGGACUUAGUGGCGCAGCUAACGCAAUAAGUGACCG